UGAUGUUACAAGAUUGACAGCAAAACCUCUAAAAUCUUUGCAAAAUAACCUUUAUAUCGACGUAUACAGGAAAAUGCUUCGAUUUAUUAAGCCAGUUUUCGAUGCUGGAGCAAAGGUCUUGUUCGUCCUCCAAUCUCUCGAAGGGCCCAGAAAAAUAUCUCGGCGCACUUGGCAACUUCAUUCACUUUCGAGUUAUCAAGGCCUUUAGCUGCCCUUUCUUCACGAAAGUCCUUCGUGAAGUACAAGUAAGCCGAGAGAGGACGUUUGAUCUUGGGUCCAUCAUCAGUUUUGGUCUUCUUCUUGGAUCUACCCUUGUUGGUUUGCGCUGCACGCUUUCUCUUUGCAGCUGCAUGCACCAAGAAAAUAAAAUUUYGGAUUAAAACUCGAAAUUAUAUCGAAAUUCUAGAGUGGCAAUUAAAUUGAAGCAAACGGU
Actinia tenebrosa (Australian red waratah sea anemone) is the source of this 433-nucleotide long non-coding RNA. RefSeq lists it as uncharacterized. The record is from RefSeq and is a predicted model, not a curated record. Lineage: Eukaryota; Metazoa; Cnidaria; Anthozoa; Actiniaria; Actiniidae.